GUGCCAGCCGCCGCGGUAAUACGUAGGUGGCAAGCGUUGUCCGGAUUUACUGGGCGUAAAGGAUGUGUAGGCGGAUAUUUAAGUUAGAUGUGAAAUCCCCGGGCUUAACUUGGGGGCGGCAUUUCAAACUGGAUGUCUGGAGUGCAGUUGAGGAAAGCAGAAUUCCUAGUGUAGCGGUGAAAUGCGUAGAGAUAAGGAAGAAUACCAGUGGCGAAAGCGGCUUUCU
RNAcentral lists this ribosomal RNA (226 nucleotides) under uncultured bacterium. RNAcentral's name for it is "partial 16S rRNA". It matches the Rfam family "Bacterial small subunit ribosomal RNA", at positions 505 to 730 of the family's 1533-position model. The record is from RNAcentral.